RNAcentral lists this ribosomal RNA (756 nucleotides) under Salmonella enterica subsp. enterica serovar Agona. RNAcentral's name for it is "partial 23S ribosomal RNA". It matches the Rfam family "Bacterial large subunit ribosomal RNA", at positions 454 to 1211 of the family's 2925-position model. The record is from RNAcentral. Lineage: Bacteria; Pseudomonadati; Pseudomonadota; Gammaproteobacteria; Enterobacterales; Enterobacteriaceae. RNAcentral also lists the same sequence under 2 other names.
CAUCCUCCAAGGCUAAAUACUCCUGACUGACCGAUAGUGAACCAGUACCGUGAGGGAAAGGCGAAAAGAACCCCGGCGAGGGGAGUGAAAAAGAACCUGAAACCGUGUACGUACAAGCAGUGGGAGCACCCUUUGGGGUGUGACUGCGUACCUUUUGUAUAAUGGGUCAGCGACUUAUAUUCUGUAGCAAGGUUAACCGAAUAGGGGAGCCGGAGGGAAACCGAGUCUUAAUUGGGCGUUAAGUUGCAGGGUAUAGACCCGAAACCCGGUGAUCUAGCCAUGGGCAGGUUGAAGGUUGGGUAACACUAACUGGAGGACCGAACCGACUAAUGUUGAAAAAUUAGCGGAUGACCUGUGGCUGGGGGUGAAAGGCCAAUCAAACCGGGAGAUAGCUGGUUCUCCCCGAAAGCUAUUUAGGUAGCGCCUCGUGAAUUCAUCUCCGGGGGUAGAGCACUGUUUCGGCUAGGGGGCCAUCCCGGCUUACCAACCCGAUGCAAACUGCGAAUACCGGAGAAUGUUAUCACGGGAGACACACGGCGGGUGCUAACGUCCGUCGUGAAGAGGGAAACAACCCAGACCGCCAGCUAAGGUCCCAAAGUCAUGGUUAAGUGGGAAACGAUGUGGGAAGGCCCAGACAGCCAGGAUGUUGGCUUAGAAGCAGCCAUCAUUUAAAGAAAGCGUAAUAGCUCACUGGUCGAGUCGGCCUGCGCGGAAGAUGUAACGGGGCUAAACCAUGCACCGAAGCUGCGGCAGCGA